Molecule: ribosomal RNA, 253 nt
Filed under: uncultured bacterium
Lineage: Bacteria
Description: partial 16S ribosomal RNA
Rfam family: Bacterial small subunit ribosomal RNA
Source: RNAcentral
UACGUAGGGGGCAAGCGUUGUCCGGAAUCAUUGGGCGUAAAGAGCGUGUAGGCGGUCCGGUAAGUCCGCUGUGAAAGUCAAGGGCUCAACCCUUGAAAGCCGGUUGAUACUGUCGGGCUAGAGUCCGGAAGAGGCGAGUGGAAUUCCCGGUGUAGCGGUGAAAUGCGCAGAUAUCGGGAGGAACACCAAUGGCGAAGGCAGCUCGCUGGGACGGUACUGACGCUGAGACGCGAAAGCGUGGGGAGCAAACAGG